AAUAUUUUUGGACAGCAGUGAUUCCCUGGAAUCACCUGGAAAGCAAAAUUGUAGAUACUUUUCGAUUUUAAAAGCUGCUUCAUCAUUUUAAAAUAGGAGCAUCCGAAUACUGGUUCUCUAAAACAUUUAAGCUUAGUAUCACUCUAUCCAUUUAACCUUUUGGACCUGUGGAAAAAGAGCCAUGGAUCUGAUAAACUGAGUUUUUCUCUGAGCCUACCUAUGCACUCCACUUCAUGACAAAGGUUUUUUGAAGAGUUCUUGGAACAAUUACAUUUAAAUGCAUAGAUGCACAAAAGUUGAUGGGAUGAUUUUUAAGAAACAGGAAGGGUGUAUGUAUGUCAGAAUGGCAUGUCCCAAAGAGGGAUGCCCCUUCACCUUGGUCCCAGAAUGAUGGAACAAAGUUGAAGAUGACUGCGAUAGGCCAAUAACCUGAAGAGAAAGAAACCUUCCUGUAAGUAACUUUGAUUUAGGGGUUAUUACUAUAGAAUAACUUAAUUUAGGUUAACUGAUGUAUCAUCCAGCUUGAAUGAAGAUGACUUGGCUACCAUGAGACUAAUAAUGGAUUACACAGAGUGUUUGAGAACUCUAAAAGAUAGGUUGUUAACCUCCAGAGCAGUUGAAACUGAGUAUCACUGAAGGGACAGUCAGAAUAGGCAUUCUCUUUCAGGGAUGAUUAAAACCAAAGUUCAGGUAGGAGAUGUUUGAGUGAUAUUUCAAUAUAUGGAAAAUUAUUGGUUUGAAGUAUGAGCUUUAUAUCCAUUAUACAUGUUGGUUUUAUGCUAUGAAAUCUAAUGUUGGUUCAACAUCUGAAAUUUGUCACAUUUUCUAAGCUCUGAAAAAGAAAAAUGAGCCUGUUUUUUUGUAUAUUUAUGUAUGCUCAUCCAGUGGUAAAAUCAUAUUACUAAUCCAGAAACCAAUUACUGAACUCCAGUGAAAUUAUGGAGCUAAAUCCAAAAUUCAGACAUUUUUGAAAAACUAUCUGAGUCCACAGUAAUGUAUUUUGACGUUCUGGGGUAAAAAAAUCAGUAUUUAUCCUUUAUAGAGUAUGGGUUCCUUCAAAUACCUCUAUACUUUUUAAGCAUCUGACAUUUACAGUUACUGUGAUUCCCUCUGUCCAAUUUAAGUCACAAGAAGCAACUCUGUGAAAGAAAGUUUGAUUUGUGAUUGAGCUGUUUCUCACAGUAACAAUACCUAUAUGGUAUGUUCUGAGGCAGAGCUUUAUUCAUAUGCACCCCCAAUAGUACAACAAACUGAUAUAUAUAAAAAAAUUCUGUUAAUCAGUAGGAGAAUGAAUUAAUGUGAUAUUUGCAUAUAACAUACAUUAUUUAAGAUUAAUACAGUAUCAUGUAUUAAAGUGGGUAAGUCUCAAAAACAGUGUUGAGAAAAAGCAAGUUUCAG
This 1398-nucleotide long non-coding RNA is filed under the name Ailuropoda melanoleuca (giant panda). RNAcentral describes it as "lncRNA (ENSAMEG00000025194.1)". The record is from RNAcentral. Lineage: Eukaryota; Metazoa; Chordata; Mammalia; Carnivora; Ursidae.